This 64-nucleotide transfer RNA is filed under the name Cypridopsis vidua. Its description in RNAcentral is "tRNA-Asp". The record is from RNAcentral. Lineage: Eukaryota; Metazoa; Arthropoda; Ostracoda; Podocopida; Cyprididae.
AAAAGAUUAGUUAAUAUAUAACAUUAGCUUGUCAUGCUAAAAUAAUUAAUUAUAAUAUUUUUUA